Molecule: non-coding RNA, 94 nt
Organism: Mycena filopes
Lineage: Eukaryota; Fungi; Basidiomycota; Agaricomycetes; Agaricales; Mycenaceae
Source: the annotation of a GenBank genome assembly
GCCCUUGUGGAUCAUGGUUGGAUCAUCCUAUUUCACUAUGAAAUUAGUGCAAUAGUAAGAGAGGAAGAUGUGGGUUCAAUUCCUACCAAGGGCA